GUGAAUCAUCGAAUUUUUGAACGCAAAUUGCACUCUCUUCGGAGAGUAUGCCUGUUUGAGGGUCAGCCUAAAAAAAAUCGACAUAGUCGCUGUUUCGCGGUGACAUUCGUCGGAAAUUGGGUAAUUUUAAACCUUUGGGUUUUAACCGCCUUAAAUUUUUUUUUACGUUUUUCGGAACUUUUUAAAGAUUUA
Molecule: unclassified non-coding RNA, 192 nt
Filed under: Glomus sp.
Lineage: Eukaryota; Fungi; Glomeromycota; Glomeromycetes; Glomerales; Glomeraceae
Description: partial contains 5.8S ribosomal RNA and internal transcribed spacer 2
Rfam family: 5.8S ribosomal RNA (bases 1-65)
Source: RNAcentral